AAUAUUGUACACUGGGUGCAAGCCUGAUCCAGCCAUGCCGCGUGAGUGAUGAAGGCCCUAGGGUUGUAAAGCUCUUUCAACGGUGAAGAUAAUGACGGUAACUGUAGAAGAAGCCCCUGCCACCUUCCUACCAGCAGCCGCGGUAAUACGAAGGGGGCUAGCGUUGUUCGGAAUUACUGGGCGUAAAGCGCACGUAGGCGGUUUGGUCAGUUAGGGGUGAAAACCAAGGGCUCAACCCUGGAACUGCUUUUAAUACUGCCAGUCUAGAGUUCGAGAGAGGUGAGUGGAAUUCCGAGUGUAGAGGUGAAAUUCGUAGAUAUUCGGAGGAACACCAGUGGCGAAGGCGGCUCACUGGCUCGAUACUGACGCUGACGUGCGAAAGCGUGGGGAGCAAACA
This 397-nucleotide ribosomal RNA is filed under the name uncultured bacterium. RNAcentral's name for it is "partial 16S ribosomal RNA". It matches the Rfam family "Bacterial small subunit ribosomal RNA", at positions 360 to 774 of the family's 1533-position model. The record is from RNAcentral.